Molecule: long non-coding RNA, 169 nt
Organism: Myotis brandtii (Brandt's bat)
Lineage: Eukaryota; Metazoa; Chordata; Mammalia; Chiroptera; Vespertilionidae
Exons: 3
Source: RefSeq, a predicted model, not a curated record
GUGUGGACGGAGUCGGCGAAGAAGGAAUGACAUGGAGGCAGCGUUCAGUUGAUCAGCAUAGCAAGGUUCUCCUGCCAGAUUCUGUAGCCAUGUUCUCUAGCCAGGUUCUCCUGCCAUGCUCUGUCUAGGUUCUCCAGCCAAGAUCUGCAGCCAGGUUCUGUCCAGGAUC